RNAcentral lists this ribosomal RNA (531 nucleotides) under uncultured bacterium. RNAcentral describes it as "bacterial SSU rRNA". It matches the Rfam family "Bacterial small subunit ribosomal RNA", at positions 8 to 524 of the family's 1533-position model. The record is from RNAcentral.
AGAGUUUGAUCAUGGCUCAGGAUGAACGCUGGCGGCGUGCCUAAUACAUGCAAGUCGAACGCGAAAGGCUUGAAGCCUUCGGGCGGAGGGCCGAGUAGAGUGGCGAACGGGUGAGGAACACGUAGGUGACCUGCCCCGGAGAGGGGGAUAACCGUCGGAAACGGCGGCUAAUACCCCAUAAGCUCACGCGAGUUAGAGGGCGUGUGAGAAAAGCUCCGGCGCUCCGGGAGGGGCCUGCGGCCCAUCAGCUAGUUGGUAGGGUAAAGGCCUACCAAGGCGAAGAUGGUUAGGGGUUUUGAGAGAGAGAUCCCCCACAUUGGAACUGAGAUACGGUCCAGACUCCUACGGGAGGCAGCAGUAGGGAAUAUUGGGCAAUGGGCGAAAGCCUGACCCAGCCAUGCCGCGUGAAGGAAGACGGCCUUAUGGGUUGUAAACUUCUUUACUAUACGAAUAGAGGUUAGUACGAGUUACUAAUAGGAAGGUAGUAUAGCAAAAAGCACCGGCUAACUCCGUGCCAGCAGCCGCGGUAAU